This 374-nucleotide unclassified non-coding RNA is filed under the name uncultured fungus. RNAcentral's name for it is "partial contains 5.8S ribosomal RNA and internal transcribed spacer 2". The stretch from base 1 to 133 matches the Rfam family "5.8S ribosomal RNA", at positions 22 to 154 of the family's 154-position model. The record is from RNAcentral. Lineage: Eukaryota; Fungi.
UGGCUCUCGCAUCGAUGAAGAACGCAGCGAAAUGCGAUAAGUAAUGUGAAUUGCAGAAUUCAGUGAAUCAUCGAAUCUUUGAACGCACCUUGCGCUCCUUGGUAUUCCGAGGAGCAUGCCUGUUUGAGUGUCUUGAAGUCAUCAACCCCUCCCGUUUCGUGCGGAGAGGUGUGUUGGAGCUGGGGGCGUGCGGUCGUGAGGCCGCUCCCUUCAAAUGCUUCGGUAGGGCCUGUGGGUCGAACCCGGUCGGGCGUUGUAACAACCUCGCUCUGCUUACGGGAAGUUCCCCUCUUGCGCCCUCCCUCGACCGCCUGUGGAGCGGCGGUCAACGACACUUGAAAUCUGACCUCAAAUCAGGUAGGACUACCCGCUGA